Molecule: ribosomal RNA, 139 nt
Filed under: Paraburkholderia polaris
Lineage: Bacteria; Pseudomonadati; Pseudomonadota; Betaproteobacteria; Burkholderiales; Burkholderiaceae
Description: Paraburkholderia sp. RP-4-7 partial 16S ribosomal RNA
Rfam family: Bacterial small subunit ribosomal RNA
Source: RNAcentral
ACACCAUGGGAGUGGGUUUUACCAGAAGUGGCUAGUCUAACCGCAAGGAGGACGGUCACCACGGUAGGAUUCAUGACUGGGGUGAAGUCGUAACAAGGUAGCCGUAUCGGAAGGUGCGGCUGGAUCACCUCCUUUCUCG